UAUGUAGGGACCAAGCGUUGUUCGGAUUUACUGGGCGUAAAGGGCGCGUAGGCGGCGUGGUAAGUCACUUGUGAAAUCUCCGAGCUUAACUCGGAACGGCCAAGUGAUACUGCUGUGCUAGAGUGCGGAAGGGGCAAUCAGAAUUCUUGGUGUAGCGGUGAAAUGCGUAGAUAUCAAGAGGAAUACCUGAGGUGAAGACGGGUUGCUAGGCCGACACUGACGCUGAGGCGCGAAAGCCAGGGGAGCAAACGGG
This 253-nucleotide ribosomal RNA is filed under the name uncultured bacterium. RNAcentral describes it as "partial 16S ribosomal RNA". It matches the Rfam family "Bacterial small subunit ribosomal RNA", at positions 524 to 776 of the family's 1533-position model. The record is from RNAcentral.